GGUUGACAAGUGGAACGAGCAGAGGGAGAGUGGAACUUUUCCAGGUCCUCUUUGAACCAAG
This 61-nucleotide small RNA is filed under the name Arabidopsis thaliana (thale cress). RNAcentral describes it as "ATSL301390". Lineage: Eukaryota; Viridiplantae; Streptophyta; Magnoliopsida; Brassicales; Brassicaceae. The record is from RNAcentral.